CCUACGGGUGACAGCAGUGGGGAAUAUUGCACAAUGGGGGAAACCCUGAUGCAGCGACGCCGCGUGAGUGAGGAAGUAUUUCGGUAUGUAAAGCUCUAUCAGCAGGGAAGAAAAUGACGGUACCUGACUACGCUGCCCCGGCUCCCUCCGUGCCAGCAGCCGCGGUCAUCCGGAGGGGGCAAGCGUUAUCCGGAUUUACUGGGUGUAAAGGGAGCGUAGACGGAAUUGCAAGUCUGAUGUGAAAAUCCGGGGCCCAACCCCGGAACUGCCGUGGAAACUGUAGUGCUAGAGUGUCGGAGAGGCAAGUGGAAUUCGUGGUGUAGCGGUGAAAUGCGUAGAUAUCAGGAGGAACACCAGUUGCGAAGGCGGCUUGCUGGAGGAUGACUGACGUUGAGGCUCGAAAGCGUGGGGAGCAAACAGGAUUAGAUACCCCAGUAGUC
RNAcentral lists this ribosomal RNA (440 nucleotides) under uncultured bacterium. RNAcentral describes it as "partial 16S ribosomal RNA". It matches the Rfam family "Bacterial small subunit ribosomal RNA", at positions 338 to 795 of the family's 1533-position model. The record is from RNAcentral.